This 71-nucleotide transfer RNA is filed under the name Charadrius vociferus (killdeer). It matches the Rfam family "tRNA". From Rfam's summary of the family: Transfer RNA (tRNA) molecules are approximately 80 nucleotides in length. Their secondary structure includes four short double-helical elements and three loops (D, anti-codon, and T loops). Further hydrogen bonds mediate the characteristic L-shaped molecular structure. tRNAs have two regions of fundamental functional importance: the anti-codon, which is responsible for specific mRNA codon recognition, and the 3' end, to which the tRNAs corresponding amino acid is attached (by aminoacyl-tRNA synthetases). tRNAs cope with the degeneracy of the genetic code in two manners: having more than one tRNA (with a specific anti-codon) for a particular amino acid; and 'wobble' base-pairing, i.e. permitting non-standard base-pairing at the 3rd anti-codon position. Lineage: Eukaryota; Metazoa; Chordata; Aves; Charadriiformes; Charadriidae. The record is from Rfam by way of RNAcentral.
GGCUAGCUCAGUCGGUAGAGCAUGAGGCUCCAGUGUCUUCGGGGGCGUGGGUUCAAAUCCCACCGCUGCCA